This 253-nucleotide ribosomal RNA is filed under the name uncultured bacterium. Its description in RNAcentral is "partial 16S ribosomal RNA". It matches the Rfam family "Bacterial small subunit ribosomal RNA", at positions 524 to 776 of the family's 1533-position model. The record is from RNAcentral.
UACGGGGGGAGCAAGCGUUGUUCGGAAUUACUGGGCGUAAAGGGCGCGUAGGCGGUUCUUUAAGUCAGGCGUGAAAGCCCUGGGCUCAACCUGGGAGUGGCGCUUGAUACUGGAGGACUAGAGAGUGGGAGAGGUUGGUGGAAUUCCCAGUGUAGAGGUGAAAUUCGUAGAUAUUGGGAAGAACACCGGUGGCGAAGGCGGCCAACUGGACCAUUUCUGACGCUGAGGCGCGAAAGCGUGGGGAGCAAACAGG